UUUUAAUUUUGCUUUGAUUUAAUUAUUUCUAUUACAUUUGAGUGAAGUUGAUUAAAUCCCUUGAGCUUUCCAGUCACUUACAUGGUACUCUCCCAUGUUCUGUUUAAAGAUUUUGGCCAGUUCUAAUCACCAAAAGUUACCUUUUUUCUUCAUUACAAUCUAGGGAAAUUACCUUAUUUUUCUUUUUUCUCUUGACAGUCGUGAAACAGCUGGCAGCAAAGAUGACAAAGGUACUGACAGAAAAGUUAUUUUUUUCCCCUUCAUUUUGAUGUUAUGGAUCGAUGUCCAUUCCAGUAGCAGCCUCAAAACCAUAGAUCACCUAGCGCGUGACUUCCAAAUCAACAAGAGACAUUUACAGGAUCAUUUCCUCCAGUUUUGAAGACCACCAUCUACUUCCGUUUCAUGGCUUAUAGUUAUCUAGAAGGUAUCUGUCUUGAGACAUAACUGUUAGAAAAAGGCAGCACGAUGAAGUUACAUGAAUAAAGAAGCAGGAAAAAGAAGUGAAGAGGAACAGGCUGGCAGAAUGGAGACCAGGAUGGGAACAGGCACAUAGAUUGCCUCACGAAGACAGGUUCGGCCAAACUCAGCAAACCGCUCAGAGAAGCUCAUACAGAAAGUCGCUGGAAAUAGGCGCACUGGAGCUGGAGAGAAGCUUGAGCUGAGAGAAGCAGACCUGUGCACACAACUGCCUCUCACUGGUAAGCAGUUGCGCAUUAUGUUGAAUCAUACGUCCUUAGGAACAAAGACUGUCCUGGUAACCUUACAGCUUAUUCUCCUUAUUAACAAUUGGACAGUUCAUGAGCCUGAAAUAUGGGACCAAACUGAGGUCAAGGUGUGGGAUUCUGCAACUAAAAAUGAUGAGGUUGCAGUGGACCUGCCGAACAGUCUCUGAGGCCUUGAAGAGCCAUGUGGGGCCACAAUCACAAACGUGUGGUUUGUCAGAUAGUGAGGGAGCUGCGGGUUCCUUUACUGGUCUGACUGCUAUGCCAUCGCCAUGGGCCCCUCUGCUGCUACAGCCAUCGAAGGACUUUGCUGUUACGCCUCCUGUUGACCUGGACGUGCCUUUUGACCCAGGCCUAUUGGCCUUGAAAAGGAGACAACUUAAAGCAAGACAUUGUUCAAAAGGAAUGGAAAAUGGAGACUGUUAAGUUAUGGAACUCAAAGGAUUGUUUGUUACCUUUCCUGAUUGCAUAUGAAUAGGCAUACUUGUGUUUAGUGUGUAAAGCAAUGUUUAGAAUAUGUUUAGAAAGUUUGAUGUUUGUUUGUGCAUGUUGCUGGAGUGUAGGCUCCUCGCACACCCAGCGCUGUUUACUUGCCUUUUAUACCUUUUUUACAGCUUUUAUACCUUUUAGAAAUAUUUGUU
Molecule: long non-coding RNA, 1363 nt
Filed under: Anas platyrhynchos platyrhynchos (common mallard)
Lineage: Eukaryota; Metazoa; Chordata; Aves; Anseriformes; Anatidae
Description: lncRNA (ENSAPLG00000030573.1)
Source: RNAcentral